UAGGGAAUUUUUCACAAUGAGCGAAAGCUUGAUGGAGCAAUGCCGCGUGAACGAUGAAGGUCUUUAAGAUUGUAAAGUUCUUUUAUUUGGGAAGAAUGACUUUAGCAGGUAAUGGCUAGAGUUUGACUGUACCAUUUUGAAUAAGUGACGACUAACUAUGUGCUAGCAGUCGCGGUAAUACAUAGGUCGCAGGCGUUAUCCGGAUUUAUUGGGCGUAAAGCAAGCGCAGGCGGAUUGAAAAGUCUGGUGUUAAAGGCAGCUGCUUAACAGUUGUAUGCAUUGGAAACUAUUAAUCUAGAGUGUGGUAGGGAGUUUUGGAAUUUCAUGUGGAGCGGUGAAAUGCGUAGAUAUAUGAAGGAACACCAGUGGCGAAGGCGAAAACUUAGGCCAUUACUGACGCUUAGGCUUGAAAGUGUGGGGAGCAAAUAGGAUUAGAUACCCUAGUAGUCCACACCGUAAACGAUAGAUACUAGCUGUCGGGGCGAUCCCCUCGGUAGUGAAGUUAACACAUUAAGUAUCUCGCCUGGGUAGUACAUUCGCAAGAAUG
This 547-nucleotide ribosomal RNA is filed under the name uncultured bacterium. RNAcentral's name for it is "bacterial SSU rRNA". It matches the Rfam family "Bacterial small subunit ribosomal RNA", at positions 355 to 896 of the family's 1533-position model. The record is from RNAcentral.